This 495-nucleotide long non-coding RNA is filed under the name Sus scrofa (pig). RNAcentral's name for it is "lncRNA (ENSSSCG00045024134.1)". The record is from RNAcentral. Lineage: Eukaryota; Metazoa; Chordata; Mammalia; Artiodactyla; Suidae.
AUGUGGAAGUUCCUGGGCCAGGGGUUGAAUCUGAGCCACGGCAGCGGCAACGCCAAAUGCUUUAACCCACGGCUCGGGGCUGGGGAUCCAACCAGGGAAUUGAACCCUCGGCUUUGUAGUGACGGGAGCCGCUGCAGCCAGAUUCUUAACCCACUGUGCUAUGGGGGGAAUGCCCAGUUUCUAGUUUUUGAUAAAUUCUACCAUCAACUUGCUGCCUUCUUCCCUCCAGGCUGCAAAGCCCUGUUGGAGAAAAACACACCUUUUUUUUCCUUGGCAUCGCUAGGGAAUUUCAGAUGAAUGUUGUCUCCACCACAUUACGUGGGGAUUACGGGGAGGUGAUGUAAGUGAAAUGCCAGUAACAGACGUACCCCGUAAGCCCGCCACGACCAGGGCUCUGAAUCACCGGUUGUGUGCUCGUCAAAGGACCAGCAGCGUUGCUUUCCCAGAGCCGCCCAUUGAACAGUCUGUUUCCUUUGGAGGAACCUGCUCUCUCGG